Molecule: ribosomal RNA, 509 nt
Filed under: Nakaseomyces glabratus
Lineage: Eukaryota; Fungi; Ascomycota; Saccharomycetes; Saccharomycetales; Saccharomycetaceae
Description: LSU rRNA
Rfam family: Eukaryotic large subunit ribosomal RNA
Source: RNAcentral
GAAACCAACUGGGAUUGCCUUAGUAACGGCGAGUGAAGCGGCAAAAGCUCAAAUUUGAAAUCUGGUACCUUUGGUGCCCGAGUUGUAAUUUGGAGAGUACCACUUUGGGACUGUACUUUGCCUAUGUUCCUUGGAACAGGACGUCAUGGAGGGUGAGAAUCCCGUGUGGCGAGGGUGUCAGUUCUUUGUAAAGGGUGCUCGAAGAGUCGAGUUGUUUGGGAAUGCAGCUCUAAGUGGGUGGUAAAUUCCAUCUAAAGCUAAAUACAGGCGAGAGACCGAUAGCGAACAAGUACAGUGAUGGAAAGAUGAAAAGAACUUUGAAAAGAGAGUGAAAAAGUACGUGAAAUUGUUGAAAGGGAAGGGCAUUUGAUCAGACAUGGUGUUUUGCGCCCCUUGCCUCUCGUGGGCUUGGGACUCUCGCAGCUCACUGGGCCAGCAUCGGUUUUGGCGGCCGGAAAAAACCUAGGGAAUGUGGCUCUGCGCCUCGGUGUAGAGUGUUAUAGCCCUGG